GGACAGGUGGAUGGCAUCAGGAAAUUGGUUCGUAGUUUGGUUCCAGCUUCCCGAACGUCAUGCAUCCAGACUGUAUCGUUUGCGCCUUUCGGGGUGCGUUGGUUCGAAUCCAACCCUGUCCA
RNAcentral lists this transfer RNA (122 nucleotides) under Parachitinimonas caeni. Its description in RNAcentral is "tRNA-OTHER". Lineage: Bacteria; Pseudomonadati; Pseudomonadota; Betaproteobacteria; Neisseriales; Chitinibacteraceae. The record is from RNAcentral.